CUUAACACAUGCAAGUCGAACGCGAAAGGGACUUCGGUCCUGAGUAAAGUGGCGCACGGGUGAGUAACGCGUAGAUAACCUGUCUUCAUGUCUGGAAUAAUACGCCGAAAGGGGUACUAAUACCGGAUAUUCUUGCUUUUCAUAAGUUAUGCAAGCAAAGGUGGCCUCUGCAUAUGCUACUGCAUGAAGAGGGGUCUGCGUACCAUUAGCUAGUAGGUGGGGUAAUGGCCUACCUAGGCGACGAUGGUUAGCGGGUCUGAGAGGAUGAUCCGCCACACUGGCACUGGAACACGGGCCAGACUCCUACGGGAGGCAGCAGUGAGGAAUAUUGCGCAAUGGGGGAAACCCUGACGCAGCGACGCCGCGUGAGUGAGGAAGGCCUUCGGGUCGUAAAGCUCUGUCAAGAGGAAAGAAGUGUACAAUGGCUAAUACCUGUUGUAUUUGACGGUACCUCUAAAGGAAGCACCGGCUAACUCCGUGCCAGCCGCCGC
RNAcentral lists this ribosomal RNA (491 nucleotides) under uncultured bacterium. Its description in RNAcentral is "bacterial SSU rRNA". It matches the Rfam family "Bacterial small subunit ribosomal RNA", at positions 47 to 518 of the family's 1533-position model. The record is from RNAcentral.